This 497-nucleotide ribosomal RNA is filed under the name uncultured bacterium. Its description in RNAcentral is "partial 16S ribosomal RNA". It matches the Rfam family "Bacterial small subunit ribosomal RNA", at positions 28 to 507 of the family's 1533-position model. The record is from RNAcentral.
GAUGAACGCUGGCGGCAUGCCUAAUACAUGCAAGUCGAGCGAACAGACGAGGAGCUUGCUCCUCUGACGUUAGCGGCGGACGGGUGAGUGACACGUAGAUAACCUACCUAUAAGACUGGGAUAACUUCGGGAAACCGGAGCUAAUACCGGAUAAUAUAUUGAACCGCAUGGUUCAAUAGUGAAAGACGGUUUUGCUGUCACUUAUAGAUGGAUCCGCGCCGCAUUAGCUAGUUGGUAAGGUAACGGCUUACCAAGGCAACGAUGCGUAGCCGACCUGAGAGGGUGAUCGGCCACACUGGAACUGAGACACGGUCCAGACUCCUACGGGAGGCAGCAGUAGGGAAUCUUCCGCAAUGGGCGAAAGCUUGACCGAGCAACGCCGCGUGAGUGAUGAAGGUCUUCGGAUCGUAAAGCUCUUUUAUUAGGAAAGAACAACUGUGUAAGUAACUAUGCACGUCUUGACGGUACCUAAUCAGAAAGCCACGGCUAACUUCGUG